UAGGGAAUCUUCCACAAUGGACGCAAGUCUGAUGGAGCAACGCCGCGUGAGUGAAGAAGGUCUUCGGAUCGUAAAACUCUGUUGUUAGAGAAGAACACGAGUGAGAGUAACUGUUCAUUCGAUGACGGUAUCUAACCAGCAAGUCACGGCUAACUACGUGCCAGCAGCCGCGGUAAUACGUAGGUGGCAAGCGUUGUCCGGAUUUAUUGGGCGUAAAGGGAACGCAGGCGGUCUUUUAAGUCUGAUGUGAAAGCCUUCGGCUUAACCGGAGUAGCGCAUUGGAAACUGGAAGACUUGAGUGCAGAAGAGGAGAGUGGAACUCCAUGUGUAGCGGUGAAAUGCGUAGAUAUAUGGAAGAACACCAGUGGCGAAAGCGGCUCUCUGGUCUGUAACUGACGCUGAGGUUCGAAAGCGUGGGUAGCAAACAGGAUUAGAUACCCUGGUAGUCCACGCCGUAAACGAUGAAUGCUAGGUGUUGGAGGGUUUCCACCCUUCAGUGCCGCAGCUAACGCAAUAAGCAUUCCGCCUGGGGAGUACGACCGCAAGGUUG
This 550-nucleotide ribosomal RNA is filed under the name uncultured bacterium. RNAcentral describes it as "bacterial SSU rRNA". It matches the Rfam family "Bacterial small subunit ribosomal RNA", at positions 355 to 896 of the family's 1533-position model. The record is from RNAcentral.